This 803-nucleotide ribosomal RNA is filed under the name uncultured bacterium. RNAcentral describes it as "bacterial SSU rRNA". It matches the Rfam family "Bacterial small subunit ribosomal RNA", at positions 59 to 848 of the family's 1533-position model. The record is from RNAcentral.
CAGUCGAGGGGCAGCGGGGGCGAAGCUUGCUUCGCCUGCCGGCGACCGGCGCACGGGUGAGUAACACGUAUGCGACCUGCCCCCCGCAGGGGGAUAACCGGGAGAAAUCCCGACUAAUACCGCGUAACGCCGCUGGGCUGCAUGGCCCGGCGGCCAAAGGAAGCGAUUCCGGCGGGGGAUGGGCAUGCGGCGCAUUAUCUAGUCGGCGGGGUAACGGCCCACCGAGGCGACGAUGCGUAGGGGUUCUGAGAGGAAGGUCCCCCACACUGGUACUGAGACACGAACCACUAUUAUACGGGAGGCAGCAGUGAGGAAUAUUGGUCAAUGGGCGUAAGCCUGAACCAGCCAAGUCGCGUGAGGGAAGACGGUCCUACGGAUUGUAAACCUCUUUUGCCGGGGAGCAACGGGGUCCUUGCGAGGGCCCUAUGAGAGUACCCGGAGAAAAAGCAUCGGCUAACUCCGUGCCAGCAGCCGCGGUAAUACGGAGGAUGCGAGCGUUAUCCGGAUUUAUUGGGUUUAAAGGGUGCGUAGGCGGGCUGUUAAGUCAGCGGUCAAAUGUCGGGGCUCAACCCCGGCCUGCCGUUGAAACUGGCGGCCUCGAGUGGGCGAGAAGUAUGCGGAAUGCGUGGUGUAGCGGUGAAAUGCAUAGAUAUCACGCAGAACUCCGAUUGCGAAGGCAGCAUACCGGCGCCCUACUGACGCUGAGGCACGAAGGCGUGGGUAUCGAACAGGAUUAGAUACCCUGGUAGUCCACGCAGUAAACGAUGAAUGCUAGCUGUCCGGGACUUCGGUUCUGGGUGGCA